GUGGGGAAUCUUGCGCAAUGGGCGAAAGCCUGACGCAGCCAUGCCGCGUGAAUGAUGAAGGUCUUAGGAUUGUAAAAUUCUUUCACCGGGGACGAUAAUGACGGUACCCGGAGAAGAAGCUCCGGCUAACUUCGUGCCAGCAGCCGCGGUAAUACGAAGGGGGCUAGCGUUGCUCGGAAUUACUGGGCGUAAAGGGCGCGUAGGCGGACAGCUUAGUCAGAGGUGAAAGCCCAAGGCUCAACCUGGGAAUUGCCUUUGAUACUGGCUAUCUUGAGUAUGGGAGAGGUGAGUGGAACUCCGAGUGUAGAGGUGAAAUUCGUAGAUAUUCGGAAGAACACCAGUGGCGAAGGCGACUCACUGGCCCGUUACUGACGCUGAGGCGCGAAAGCGUGGGGAGCAAACAGGAUUAGAUACCCGUGUAGUCC
This 425-nucleotide ribosomal RNA is filed under the name uncultured bacterium. RNAcentral's name for it is "partial 16S ribosomal RNA". It matches the Rfam family "Bacterial small subunit ribosomal RNA", at positions 354 to 796 of the family's 1533-position model. The record is from RNAcentral.